This 749-nucleotide ribosomal RNA is filed under the name Bacillus cereus. RNAcentral describes it as "bacterial SSU rRNA". It matches the Rfam family "Bacterial small subunit ribosomal RNA", at positions 51 to 781 of the family's 1533-position model. Lineage: Bacteria; Bacillati; Bacillota; Bacilli; Caryophanales; Bacillaceae. The record is from RNAcentral.
AUACAUGCAGUCGAGCGAAUGGAUUAAGAGCUUGCUCUUAUGAAGUUAGCGGCGGACGGGUGAGUAACACGUGGGUAACCUGCCCAUAAGACUGGGAUAACUCCGGGAAACCGGGGCUAAUACCGGAUAACAUUUUGAACCGCAUGGUUCGAAAUUGAAAGGCGGCUUCGGCUGUCACUUAUGGAUGGACCCGCGUCGCAUUAGCUAGUUGGUGAGGUAACGGCUCACCAAGGCAACGAUGCGUAGCCGACCUGAGAGGGUGAUCGGCCACACUGGGACUGAGACACGGCCCAGACUCCUACGGGAGGCAGCAGUAGGGAAUCUUCCGCAAUGGACGAAAGUCUGACGGAGCAACGCCGCGUGAGUGAUGAAGGCUUUCGGGUCGUAAAACUCUGUUGUUAGGGAAGAACAAGUGCUAGUUGAAUAAGCUGGCACCUUGACGGUACCUAACCAGAAAGCCACGGCUAACUACGUGCCAGCAGCCGCGGUAAUACGUAGGUGGCAAGCGUUAUCCGGAAUUAUUGGGCGUAAAGCGCGCGCAGGUGGUUUCUUAAGUCUGAUGUGAAAGCCCACGGCUCAACCGUGGAGGGUCAUUGGAAACUGGGAGACUUGAGUGCAGAAGAGGAAAGUGGAAUUCCAUGUGUAGCGGUGAAAUGCGUAGAGAUAUGGAGGAACACCAGUGGCGAAGGCGACUUUCUGGUCUGUAACUGACACUGAGGCGCGAAAGCGUGGGGAGCAAACAGGAUUAG